GAUGAAGAACGUAGCAAAAUGCGAUACUUGGUGUGAAUUGCAGAAUCCCGUGAACCAUCGAGUUUUUGAACGCAAGUUGCGCCCGAAGCCUUUUGGCCGAGGGCACGUCUGCCUGUGCGUCACGCAUCGCGUCGCCCCCCACAAUUCUCCGUAAAGGGAACAUGUGUUUUGGGGGCGGAUAUUGGUCUCCCGUGCUCAUGGCGUGGUUGGCCGAAAUAGGAGUCCUUUCGAUGGACGCACGAACUAGUGGUGGUCGUAAAAACCCUCGUCUUUUGUUUCGUGCUGUUGCUCGCAAGGUAAACUCUUUAAAAACCCCAAUGUGUCGUCUCUUGACGACGCUUCGACCGCGACCCCAGGUCAGGCGGGACUACCCGCUGAGUUUAAGCAUAUCAAUAAGCGGAGGA
Molecule: unclassified non-coding RNA, 404 nt
Filed under: soil metagenome
Description: partial contains 5.8S ribosomal RNA, internal transcribed spacer 2, and large subunit ribosomal RNA
Rfam family: 5.8S ribosomal RNA (bases 1-122)
Source: RNAcentral